GAGGCAAACCCCGGCCGCCCAUCGAGCUUGGACCUCGCUGCCGGCUGCCGUCCGUCGUCGUGUUUGUGCUGCUAGCGGCCAUGCAACGCCGCUGUCUAUCCCUCUACGUUGCCGUUCUCAUGCUCGUCUGGCUCUUCUUCGCGCCGCUCUCCGUCGUCGCCGGCAGCCUUAUCGCCAUCCCCAGCGCACUCGACGGUAGCCGCACCUCUCACCGUCGCCCUAUUGAAAAUCCACGGUUCAACGUGACGCUCUGGGAGAAAAACGAGAUCAAUACUAGACCUAAGGCGUCCCAUGGAUUUGACGAUGGUGACGAAGUCUCCUACACCGUGGCCAUGCCUUCAUAGAGAAGCUUAGGCGGCGAUGCGCCGUGGCCACCGGCGGUAGCCAUCGUCGCUGCGAUGCCACAGCGAUCAGGCAGUUUGAGGAGGAUGUGGCUCCCUGCCUGCUAGAGAUGUUGAAGGUGACCAGGGAGUUCAGCCACACAUUGUCUAAUUUGGAUUAUAGUAGAUGGCUGGGCCCCUAUUAUCUGGAUUUGGCCGUGCAGCAAAGGUCCCAAAUGAUGAACUUGUUUUGCAUGAACAAACCCAAUGUUUUAGCGUGCUUAUGCUAGCUUUAAAAUGAUCAAUUAAUGCUUUCCACAU
This 641-nucleotide long non-coding RNA is filed under the name Oryza sativa aus subgroup. Its description in RNAcentral is "lncRNA OsN22_UnG000420". Lineage: Eukaryota; Viridiplantae; Streptophyta; Magnoliopsida; Poales; Poaceae. The record is from RNAcentral.